This 1522-nucleotide long non-coding RNA is filed under the name Amborella trichopoda. Its description in RNAcentral is "long non-coding RNA (ATRI_LNC004448)". The record is from RNAcentral. Lineage: Eukaryota; Viridiplantae; Streptophyta; Magnoliopsida; Amborellales; Amborellaceae.
ACCUAAUGAGGGAGAGUGGGAAGGGGGUCUAAGAGAAAAUGAGAGAGAUGAUGAUUCUGAGGCCACCCUAUCCCAGCCAUAUUAUUCACAUAUCGAGUCCCAACAGCAACAGUGUAGGGAUGAGCACGACAGUGCAGGUGAGCAUGAAGGAUGGACAAGCUUCGGGGAUUUUGGAUUGGGAACACAACAAAACACUAACACUCAGGGAUUUGAAAAUAGUCAGACGGCCGCUAAUAUCGAUGAUUCGUUUUUAGAUCGAAUCAAUGAAUUGUCAAACGAAUUCAAUCAAUGACACCAGCGUGACCAAGAAGAACAACAACGUCGUCUAUCAUUUAUUUUUAGAUCGUAUGUUACUAAUUUUAUGCUUUAUUGUAGUCCAUGUAUGUUGAUAUACUUAUUCCAUGAUAAUUCUAUGUUUAUCCUUUUGUGUGAUGUAAAUUAAAUGUUGAAUGGCGGUUCAUGCAGGGGAAGAACAUAUCAAUAUUCGCAUAUUCAUUCAAAAACAUGAAAAUUCUUAAUGGAGUACCCUCAUUUUUUAUUGAAUUCCUAAAAAACAAUAUUUAUAAUGAAUUUUAAUAAUUUUUUCGGAUUUUUUUGAAGCUUUAUUCUGACCGAUUCACCCGAUUCCGAUCCGGAUCGCCGAUUCGCCGAUCCGGAUCGGUUUUUGGAAAGCCCGAUCCGGGUCAUCGAUCCGUUUUUUAAACCAUUGGAGUAGAGCAUGGAGCCACAAAAAUAUAUAUUGGAUUGUUUAUCAAGAUAUCAUUUUUUUUUGUACAAGGCCUAUAAGAAGCCACUACGCAAUGUCUCGGAAAAAAAUGAAUAGUAUUUUCCCCUAUAGGUUUGGCGUCGUUCAAUUUUUAUGGAUGGCGUGAAAAAUCAACCGCACCAAACCUAUUAUAUCCAUUGCGGUCGAUUUUUCAUGGGAAAAUCACGUGAAACCGCAACAGCUCAUGUUAUGACUUUUUCGGCUAAACUGUAACGUUUCUAUCAAGAGCUAUUGCAAGUGAAAUCACUAUUCAUUUGCACACCAUUGCAUUUUUAAGGGUUAUAUAUAUAUAUAUAUAUAUAUAUAUAUCAUAUUAGCCAUAUAGUUAACAACGACAGUGUAUGCUCAAUGCCCCAGAUUGAACAUGAGUUGAACUAAUGAUUACGAUUUUAUUUUGUAUUUGAAUUUGAUUUUUUUAUACAAAUCCAAACCAUUUGAAAUUUUGAACGUCUAUUAUUUAAAAAUAUGAAAAUAUAAUAUAAAUAUCAAAAAAAUAAUUUAUCAAAGAUAAAUUGACCAAAAUACCUCAAUAAUAUUUAGGAGUAUUUUAAUCAAUUUAUAUUUUCUAAGUUAUUUUUUAAGAUUUUUAUUAGGUGUAUCUUGAUGAGAAGAAUUGAUCCUUAAAAUUUUAUGUGAUUUGGAUUCGUAGAAAAAUAUUAAAAAUUAUAUUACAAAAUGAGGUUGUGACUGUUAGAUCGGCUUAAAUUCAAUCUGGGUCAUUGGGCUUACACUUGAAAAUAAUAAUAACAAACUGAG